This 417-nucleotide ribosomal RNA is filed under the name Fusobacteriota bacterium. RNAcentral describes it as "Fusobacteria bacterium partial 16S ribosomal RNA". It matches the Rfam family "Bacterial small subunit ribosomal RNA", at positions 355 to 776 of the family's 1533-position model. Lineage: Bacteria; Fusobacteriati; Fusobacteriota. The record is from RNAcentral.
UGGGGAAUAUUGCACAAUGGACGGAAGUCUGAUGCAGCGACGCCGCGUGGGGGAUGAAGGCUUUCGGGUUGUAAACUCCUUUUGAUGCUGAACAAGGCUCUUUUUAGGGUUGAGGGUAGGUGUUGAAUAAGCGCCGGCUAACUACGUGCCAGCAGCCGCGGUAAUACGUAGGGCGCGAGCAUUGUCCGGAAUUAUUGGGCGUAAAGGGCUCGUAGGCGGUUUGUCGCGUCUGCUGUGAAAGACCGGGGCUUAACUCCGGGGUUGCAGUGGGUACGGGCAGACUAGAGUGCGGUAGGGGUAGCUGGAAUUCCUGGUGUAGCGGUGGAAUGCGCAGAUAUCAGGAGGAACACCGAUGGCGAAGGCAGGUUACUGGGCCGUUACUGACGCUGAGGAGCGAAAGCAUGGGGAGCGAACAGG